AAACCAUGCACCGAAGCUGCGGCAGCGACGCUUAUGCGUUGUUGGGUAGGGGAGCGUUCUGUAAGCCUGUGAAGGUGUGCUGUGAGGCAUGCUGGAGGUAUCAGAAGUGCGAAUGCUGACAUAAGUAACGAUAAAGCGGGUGAAAAGCCCGCUCGCCGGAAGACCAAGGGUUCCUGUCCAACGUUAAUCGGGGCAGGGUGAGUCGACCCCUAAGGCGAGGCCGAAAGGCGUAGUCGAUGGGAAACAGGUUAAUAUUCCUGUACUUGGUGUUACUGCGAAGGGGGGACGGAGAAGGCUAUGUUGGCCGGGCGACGGUUGUCCCGGUUUAAGCGUGUAGGCUGGUUUUCCAGGCAAAUCCGGAAAACCAAGGCUGAGGCGUGAUGACGAGGCACUACGGUGCUGAAGCAACAAAUGCCCUGCUUCCAGGAAAAGCCUCUAAGCAUCAGGUAACAUCAAAUCGUACCCCAAACCGACACAGGUGGUCAGGUAGAGAAUACCAAGGCGCUUGAGAGAACUCGGGUGAAGGAACUAGGCAAAAUGGUGCCGUAACUUCGGGAGAAGGCACGCUGAUAUGUAGGUGAAGCGACUAGCUCGUGGAGCUGAAAUCAGUCGAAGAUACCAGCUGGCUGCAACUGUUUAUUAAAAACACAGCACUGUGCAAACACGAAAGUGGACGUAUACGGUGUGACGCCUGCCCGGUGCCGGAAGGUUAAUUGAUGGGGUUAGCGGCAACGCGAAGCUCUUGAUCGAAGCCCCGGUAAACGGCGGCCGUAACUAUAACGGUCCUAAGGUAGCGAAAUUCCUUGUCGGGUAAGUUCCGACCUGCACGAAUGGCGUAAUGAUGGCCAGGCUGUCUCCACCCGAGACUCAGUGAAAUUGAACUCGCUGUGAAGAUGCAGUGUACCCGCGGCAAGACGGAAAGACCCCGUGAACCUUUACUAUAGCUUGACACUGAACAUUGAGCCUUGAUGUGUAGGAUAGGUGGGAGGCUUUGAAGUGUGGACGCCAGUCUGCAUGGAGCCGACCUUGAAAUACCACCCUUUAAUGUUUGAUGUUCUAACGUUGGCCCGUAAUCCGGGUUGCGGACAGUGUCUGGUGGGUAGUUUGACUGGGGCGGUCUCCUCCUAAAGAGUAACGGAGGAGCACGAAGGUU
This 1153-nucleotide ribosomal RNA is filed under the name Escherichia coli. RNAcentral describes it as "partial 23S ribosomal RNA". It matches the Rfam family "Bacterial large subunit ribosomal RNA", at positions 1184 to 2318 of the family's 2925-position model. Lineage: Bacteria; Pseudomonadati; Pseudomonadota; Gammaproteobacteria; Enterobacterales; Enterobacteriaceae. The record is from RNAcentral.